Molecule: long non-coding RNA, 592 nt
Organism: Salvia miltiorrhiza (redroot sage)
Lineage: Eukaryota; Viridiplantae; Streptophyta; Magnoliopsida; Lamiales; Lamiaceae
Exons: 2
Source: RefSeq, a predicted model, not a curated record
UUCAUUUUACCGCCAUUUACCAAAAAUCCCUCUAAAAACCUAUCUACGAAACUUGGCAGUUUAUCCACAAUCAUAGUGGAGUUUAGAUUGCCAAUUCCUCUCCUCCAUUAGAAUCCCCACUACUCGUCCUCUCCGAUUUUCUCAAUUUCUCAUUUUUCUCUGAUGUUCAAAUUUUAAGGGCGCCGUCGCGACCCCGACUGCGACUCCGACUCAUAGCGCCGCCCCUCCUCCAACACCUAUUGUAGCCGCAACCACAACGGAUGGCCUAGAAAGAAUAGGAAAAUCGUUGCGCCCGAAUUAUUAUGUAUUACUAUCUAUCUAUAUCUGUUUAUUUCAAUGAAGUUAUUAAUGAUAUACAGUUUUAGAGGAACAUAGACUUGGUUUAUGAAGGUGGAAGCAUAGGAUUGAUGGUUUGAUUUUUCUCAAGCUGUGCAUAAUGGUGGCUACCACGUGUUGGGGUGGUGGGGUAGUAUAUGUGUGUAGCACAUUGAGCAGGUUGUCGAAGAGCCUAAAUAAAGUUUUAAUUGUAUGAUUAGUAACGUUAGCAUUCUUCAAUAGUACAUUCUUAUGCUUGCCUUUUUUUUGUUUCAAA